This 400-nucleotide ribosomal RNA is filed under the name uncultured Glomeromycotina. Its description in RNAcentral is "eukaryotic LSU rRNA". Lineage: Eukaryota; Fungi; Glomeromycota. The record is from RNAcentral.
GAAAAGAACUUUGAAAAGAGAGUUAAACAGUACGUGAAAUUGUUGAAAGGGAAACGAUUGAAGUCAGUCGUACCAACGGGAAAUCAACCUAUUGGAGUUGUGAAUUUUGGAUUUUGAAGAGUGUAAACCUUCGGGUUCAAAUAUUUGCGCUUUUUAGGCGUAAUUUUUCGUUCGGUAGGUUAACAUCGAUUUUGAAGAUUAUAAAAUGACCGGAGGAAUGUAGCUUCGAUCUCGUAUUGAAGUGUUAUAGCCUUUGGUAGAUGUAAUGAUCAAGAUCGAGGAUUGCAACGAAUACCCUUUGGGCUAUCCGUCUGGUCUCUGAUACGUUGCCUUGGUAACGAAAGCUUGCUUACGUUAUUGAGGUAUUACGAUCAAAAGGCCAGAACGUGAUUACAUUCGU